Molecule: long non-coding RNA, 967 nt
Organism: Nilaparvata lugens (brown planthopper)
Lineage: Eukaryota; Metazoa; Arthropoda; Insecta; Hemiptera; Delphacidae
Exons: 4
Source: RefSeq, a predicted model, not a curated record
ACUGUUUUUCACAGCAUUUUCUCACCUCUCAACUCGAGUUCCGAACCUCAUAACCAGUUGAGCUCUCGUCAAGACAACACAGCUGAGAGGAAUCAUAGGGUGGUCACCUGAGAGGAAUCAAUCAUAGCAUAAUCAUCUACACCUGUAUCCUGCUAUCUACACCUCUAGCCUGCUAUCUACACUCGAGGAGAUUCACGCAACAUCAAGCACUACAUACACGUGCGAGCGAGAGCGUGGCACAAGGCGAAAAAAAUUCGAAUUUCUCCCCAACAACAACACGUGCUCUCAGAUCGUUAUCAGAUUCAUUUUCUCACCUCUCAACUCGAGUUCCGAACCUCAUAACCAGUUGAGCUCUCGUCAAGACAACACAGCUGAGAGGAAUCAUAGGGUGGUCACCUGAGAGGAAUCAAUCAUAGCAUAAUCAUCUACACCUGUAUCCUGCUAUCUACACCUCUAGCCUGCUAUCUACACUCGAGGAGAUUCACGCAACAUCAAGCACUACAUAAUCAUGCCGAGGGAACGCAGACUUCGUGGUAUCAAUUCCGCAGCAGUCCGUCAUCGCAUCAGCCUCGAUGAGGAGGAUAUCGACAUCAGCAGUGUGCUCGAGAGCUCGAAACGUCGAGUUUUCGAUAUAAUUAGGGAACAUGCCGCACGCUAUGAUGGCAAUGUUAAGUGGUACAUCGUCCUCAACGUUUUGCUGUAUAAAUUAGUGGUGAUGGAUGACAAGCAGGUUGGUGACUCUGUCUCAUCUCUAAUAAAUCUACAUAGUUACUCCAACAUAGCACUAAAUGUGCUUGAGAACUAUGAAGAGUUUAAUGAGCAUUUCAUGUUAGCUGUGAGAAAAAUUCUCUCAUCUUUUGAAAAUUUUGUAAGAUAUGGGAGUGGAUGGGUGCUAAAGAAAAUUGAAUCACUGGAUGUGAAUGUGAUUAAAUUUAAUCCUAUAUACACAUCCAGUUUCAUUCAGACA